CAGGCCUAACACAUGCAAGUCGAACGGGCGUAGCAAUACGUCAGUGGCAGACGGGUGAGUAACACGUGGGAACAUACCCUUCGGUUCGGAACAACGCCGGGAAACUGGCGCUAAUACCGGAUACGCCCUUUUGGGGAAAGGCUUGCCGCCGAAGGAGUGGCCCGCGUUCGAUUAGCUUGAUGGCGGGGUAACGGCCCACCAUGGCGACGAUCGAUAGCUGGUCUGAGAGGAUGGCCAGCCACAUUGGGACUGAGACACGGCCCAAACUCCUACGGGAGGCAGCAGUGGGAAUAUUGGACAAUGGGCGCAAGCCUGAUCCAGCCAUGCCGCGUGAGUGAUGACGGCCUUAGGGUUGUAAAGCUCUUUCGCACGCGACGAUAAUGACGGUAGCGUGAGAAGAAGCCCCGGCUAACUUCGUGCCAGCAGCCGCGGUAAU
Molecule: ribosomal RNA, 436 nt
Filed under: uncultured bacterium
Lineage: Bacteria
Description: bacterial SSU rRNA
Rfam family: Bacterial small subunit ribosomal RNA
Source: RNAcentral